CACACACACACACACACACACACACACACACACACACACACACUCACAUACACACACACACACACACACAUUCACACUCACAUACACACACACACACUCCCGUUGUUUAACCUGUGGUGUCUCCCCCUUAGUGAUGGUGAGAUAAGAUGCUGGGGUUUUGUAACAGACGGUAGGUCAGUGGAGCUGGUUUGUGUAUACGUGUGUGCGUGUGUGUGUGUGUACGUGUGUGUGUGUGUGUGUGUGUGUGUGCUCAGGCCACAGGAUGCAUGGCUGCUCUCAGAGCAGAGAUAAACACACACACUUCCUCUUUCAGAACCACGAGCCUGACUGAGCCACACCACACACACUCCCCUUCUAUGCAAGUCUUACAUAACCACCACCUCAACUCUCUCUCUCACACACACACACACACACUCACACACACACAUACACACCACACCGCAUACACAUGCUAAUAUACAUAAACACACUAACACGGAUCAGCUACAGAACGCAUACACACACACACACACACACACUCACACACACACAAACACACAUACUCAUAUGAAAUCUGCUAAAAUUAAGAAGUUUGACUAUCACUUCUUCUAAAUUGAGAUCACACACACACACACACAUAUACACACAUACACACACACACACACACACACACACACAUAUACACACAUAUACACACAGACACACACACAUACAUACAUACACACACACACACACACACACACACACACAUACAGAAGAAGUAUGUUAGAGAUGGGCCCUCCUCAACAAGGUCAUAGCAAAGACAGAAGAGCUUCCAUCUUUACAGCAAAUAAAAGUUCCUUUCUCUAUCGCUGGGUCUGUGUGAAAGGUUCUGUAUCGUUGAGUGUGUGUGAAAGGUUCUCUAUCGUUGAGUGUGUGUGAAAGGUUCUCUAUCGUUGAGUGUGUGUGAAAGGUUCUCUAUCGUUGAGUGUGUGUGAAAGGUUCUCUAUCGUUGAGUGUGUGUGAAAGGUUCUCUAUCGCUGGAUCUGUGUUAAAGGUUCUCCUUUGUUUCUAUACAGUUCUGGGUGAUGGCAUCACAUUUUACAGUUAUUUACAGUUGUUUAAUGUCUGUGUGAGAGUUUGUGUGUGAGUGUGUAUGUGUGUUAAUGUCUGUGUGAGAGUUUGUGUGCUGAUGUGUUAAUGUGUGUGUGUGUGUGUGUGAAUCAGUGUGUGUGUGUGUGUGUGUGUGUGUGUGUGUGUUUGUGUGUGUGUGUGUUUGCAUGCGGGCAUAUGUAUAUGUAUGUGUGUGUUAAUGUCUGUGUGUGUGUGUAUGAGUGUGUGAAUCAAUGUGUGUGUGUGUGUGUGUGUGUGUGUGAAUCAAUGUGUGUGUGCGUGUGUGUGUGUGUGUGUGUGUGUGAAUCAAUGUGUGUGUGUGUGUGUGUGUGUGUGUGUGUGUGUUAUCUAUCUGCUCAUUCAUGCUGAGGCAUCCCUGUUCCCUACCGGCCUGAUAAG
Molecule: long non-coding RNA, 1470 nt
Organism: Clupea harengus (Atlantic herring)
Lineage: Eukaryota; Metazoa; Chordata; Actinopteri; Clupeiformes; Clupeidae
Source: Ensembl